This 1432-nucleotide ribosomal RNA is filed under the name Mulberry dwarf phytoplasma. Its description in RNAcentral is "bacterial SSU rRNA". It matches the Rfam family "Bacterial small subunit ribosomal RNA". Lineage: Bacteria; Bacillati; Mycoplasmatota; Mollicutes; Acholeplasmatales; Acholeplasmataceae. The record is from RNAcentral.
CAUGCAAGUCGAACGGAAGUUUAAGCAAUUAAACUUUAGUGGCGAACGGGUGAGUAACGCGUAAGCAAUCUGCCCCUAAGACGAGGAUAACAGUUGGAAACGACUGCUAAGACUGGAUAGGAGACAAGAAGGCAUCUUCUUGUUUUUAGAAGACCUAGCAAUAGGUAUGCUUAGGGAGGAGCUUGCGUCACAUUAGUUAGUUGGUGGGGUAAAGGCCUACCAAGACUAUGAUGUGUAGCCGGGCUGAGAGGUUGAACGGCCACAUUGGGACUGAGACACGGCCCAAACUCCUACGGGAGGCAGCAGUAGGGAAUUUUCGGCAAUGGAGGAAACUCUGACCGAGCAACGCCGCGUGAACGAUGAAGUAUUUCGGUACGUAAAGUUCUUUUAUUAGGGAAGAAUAAAUGAUGGAAAAAUCAUUCUGACGGUACCUAAUGAAUAAGCCCCGGCUAACUAUGUGCCAGCAGCCGCGGUAAUACAUAGGGGGCAAGCGUUAUCCGGAAUUAUUGGGCGUAAAGGGUGCGUAGGCGGUUAAAUAAGUUUAUGGUCUAAGUGCAAUGCUCAACAUUGUGAUGCUAUAAAAACUGUUUAGCUAGAGUAAGAUAGAGGCAAGUGGAAUUCCAUGUGUAGUGGUAAAAUGCGUAAAUAUAUGGAGGAACACCAGUAGCGAAGGCGGCUUGCUGGGUCUUUACUGACGCUGAGGCACGAAAGCGUGGGGAGCAAACAGGAUUAGAUACCCUGGUAGUCCACGCCGUAAACGAUGAGUACUAAACGUUGGGUAAAACCAGUGUUGAAGUUAACACAUUAAGUACUCCGCCUGAGUAGUACGUACGCAAGUAUGAAACUUAAAGGAAUUGACGGGACUCCGCACAAGCGGUGGAUCAUGUUGUUUAAUUCGAAGGUACCCGAAAAACCUCACCAGGUCUUGACAUGCUUCUGCAAAGCUGUAGAAACACAGUGGAGGUUAUCAGUUGCACAGGUGGUGCAUGGUUGUCGUCAGCUCGUGUCGUGAGAUGUUGGGUUAAGUCCCGCAACGAGCGCAACCCUUAUUGUUAGUUACCAGCACGUAAUGGUGGGGACUUUAGCAAGACUGCCAGUGAUAAAUUGGAGGAAGGUGGGGACGACGUCAAAUCAUCAUGCCCCUUAUGACCUGGGCUACAAACGUGAUACAAUGGCUGUUACAAAGGGUAGCUGAAGCGCAAGUUUUUGGCGAAUCUCAAAAAAACAGUCUCAGUUCGGAUUGAAGUCUGCAACUCGACUUCAUGAAGUUGGAAUCGCUAGUAAUCGCGAAUCAGCAUGUCGCGGUGAAUACGUUCUCGGGGUUUGUACACACCGCCCGUCAAACCACGAAAGUUGGCAAUACCCAAAGCCGGUGGCCUAACUUCGCAAGAAGAGGGAACCGUCUAAGGUAGGGUCGAUGAUUGGGGUUAAG